GAAAUGCGAUAAGUAAUGUGAAUUGCAGAAUUCAGUGAAUCAUCGAAUCUUUGAACGCACAUUGCGCCCGCCAGUAUUCUGGCGGGCAUGCCUGUUCGAGCGUCAUUACAACCCUCAGGCCCCCGGGCCUGGCGUUGGGGAUCGGCGGAAGCCCCCUGCGGGCACAACGCCGUCCCCCAAAUACAGUGGCGGUCCCGCCGCAACUUCCAUUGCGUAGUAGCUAACACCUCGCAACUGGAGAGCGGCGCGGCCACGCCGUAAAACACCCAACUUCUGAAUGUUGACCUCGAAUCAGGUAGGAAUACCCGCUGAACUUAAGC
RNAcentral lists this unclassified non-coding RNA (320 nucleotides) under plant metagenome. RNAcentral describes it as "partial contains 5.8S ribosomal RNA, internal transcribed spacer 2, and large subunit ribosomal RNA". The stretch from base 1 to 105 matches the Rfam family "5.8S ribosomal RNA", at positions 50 to 154 of the family's 154-position model. The record is from RNAcentral.